This is a long non-coding RNA of Ornithodoros turicata, 1166 nucleotides long. RefSeq lists it as uncharacterized. The transcript is spliced from 3 exons. The record is from RefSeq and is a predicted model, not a curated record. NCBI's taxonomy places the organism in Eukaryota, Metazoa, Arthropoda, Arachnida, Ixodida, Argasidae.
UGGAGUGAGGGAAGCCGCGGCAAGGAGCCAAAGAAGCGGCCGCGUGUUGGUCUCUCAGUCAGCUGGACUCUCGCCACCUCUCUUUGUCAAAAUUGCUUGGUCCAUGGCCGAAUUCAGCCGCUCUGCCCACAACGCUCUUCUGACCUUCUUGGGCACCGUAGGACUUGUGUCCCCACUCUGAGGAGACUCCACAACCAGAAAUGUGGUAGGGUAUCGUCCCUGGCGAUCAUCAUCAUCAAACAAAGUUGUCGUUGCGUACUUAAUAAUCUCGGCUCACCUCGGUAACGCUAUCCAGCAGUGUAUUGGCGCCAAAUUCACAAGCAACAACAUUUCACCCAGCCUGGUCUCAGGAGAAAGAAGAUGGUGUUCCACUCCAUGAGUCCUGACCGGCAAUGAUGCAUGGAAUGUCCCAGCGGGCAGAUGUGUGUGGCCCCAAGCUAGGACGGUGCCACCCGUCGUCGUCGUCGUCUUCCAUGCCUAUGUGCAAGUGAAUCGAAAUUUGCUUCUUCCAGCAUACUCUAAACAAGACUUGGAGUGGCACAGCAGAAGAACCGCCGUCUAUCGACUACUCCCAACCUGAGCAAAUUUUCUUCAAUAUGUGCUUCUCUUUCGCAUUGUUCUAUUCAGCUGUGCUGUUCGUGCAAAAAAACAGUGGUCUCCUCCCUUUAGAUGAAGAAAAGCAGAAAAAGACACUCCGUAUGCCCGAGCUAAAAGUUACAGAAAAAGAGGUGCUAAGGACACGCUGCGAGCUUUUAACUCCCUUGGAACAAACGGCGUCGAUCAACCGGCUUUCGAUCGAGCGGACUUUCCGAUGUGUGCCUAAUGCUAAAAUAGCAACCCCUGUAAGGGGUGCACAGAUAAAAAAGUUUGGGGGUGUAUAAAUCACUGUUACAAAUGGCGUCCUAAGUGUGCAAAGUUCAAGGAGGCGCGUUGUGUGGGUUCAUAUUCCAAAAAGAGGAGAGCUCUUGAAUACGUGAAAGCAGCAGAAGAUGUGGGUUCGAGUCCUACAGCCUAGCGAAACUUUUGAGUUCUUUCAUCAGUAAGGAGAGCACUUGUCGUCUGCUUUCUCCUUGUUUGUACCGGAUACCGCCUUGAUACUCUGCUAAGUGCUGGUCAUCACGCAAGGAAUCGGCUUCAAAUAAAUAAAGAGUUCACUGUGUGUUUCA